Long non-coding RNA from Helianthus annuus (common sunflower), 366 nucleotides. RefSeq lists it as uncharacterized. The transcript has 2 exons. The record is from RefSeq and is a predicted model, not a curated record. Lineage: Eukaryota; Viridiplantae; Streptophyta; Magnoliopsida; Asterales; Asteraceae.
ACGACUGUGGUUUUUAGUAGCGGUUCUGUAAGAAGUCUUUCGUUUGCUGGUUGCCUUGCUAUUACUUCUCGUGAACUCACUUGCCCUAAUCUUGAGCAAGUCACUUUAGAUGGAUGUGGUCAUUUUGAAAACGCCACUUUUUGUCCUGAUGCAAAGUGUAACAUUAUGGGUGGCUACGGUGUUGACUUUGGUGACCGACGAGUAUUUCGACCAAGUAUAUUAUUUCAAUUAUAGGUUUCAUUAUGUAUCCGUCAUGUGUAACUGUUUUCUUGGAGCUAUUAUUUUCCCUUUGUUAUAAGUACUGUUAAUAUGCAGUGUCUCUACUAAAGCAAUGUUAGGUAAAAAAAGGUGGUAUUCUUGUGUGAA